GGUUUGGACUGAGUACAAAAUGAUCACCUCUCAAGUCAAACACUAUUUUAGAAUGCACUUAUUGUAAAUUUCUCUGAAGAAAAAGUAAGAAAGCACCAUAAAAAAUGGCGGUCACAUGUGAAUUUGAGAAUGGUUUCUAUUAUUUUGUACAGGGAAGAAGUUUCUCAACCACAAUGGAUCAUUGUCAAUUGCUCUAUCAAUUUGUUUUCUCGAAUUUUGGCAAUGUCCUUGUUUACUUCCAGCUAGAUUUUUACAAGCUCUUAUGUGUUUUCAUUUACUCUAUUCAGUACAGGGAACAAGUUGUUUUCCGGCCAUAAUGAGUCAAUUAUACAACAGUGGUUAGAACAGAAACCAUGAAUGCUACAUUUGUUGGAGAGAAUGCUUAAUUGAACUCAACUUCAAUAGGAAAAUUGGAGAUAAAGUUGUAUGUU
Molecule: long non-coding RNA, 431 nt
Organism: Cryptomeria japonica (Japanese cedar)
Lineage: Eukaryota; Viridiplantae; Streptophyta; Pinopsida; Cupressales; Cupressaceae
Exons: 3
Source: RefSeq, a predicted model, not a curated record